Zingiber officinale is the source of this 587-nucleotide long non-coding RNA. RefSeq lists it as uncharacterized. The transcript is spliced from 3 exons. Lineage: Eukaryota; Viridiplantae; Streptophyta; Magnoliopsida; Zingiberales; Zingiberaceae. The record is from RefSeq and is a predicted model, not a curated record.
UGUAGAUUUAUUCCUGGAGCUUCAAGGAUGAGCUAUCUUGUUCUUCUUUGAUUUCCCGCAAACCUCAGCGCCGAACCUUUCCUCGAUUCCUCCUCUUCCUCUUGUGGCGCUGUGCCCUAGCCGGAUCUUGGAGGUAAGGCAUCGUACUCUGUGGGUUGUUGAGAUGUUGUGUGACCGAUUCUUCUUUUCCCUUGCUCGCCAGAGACGUUUGAUUGUUGAGGUAAUCUGGUGGGGGAGUCUUCUUCCGGCAGCAACCAUCUAUGGUUGAGGAUCAGCAGAAAGUGAACUGUUGAUUGCCUCUAAACCUUACGUGAGAAAGAUUCCAGCAGGGAAGUUUAGUUCUGUGGUGUUCUUUGGUCCCAUCAACUACUCUUUCAUGGCAGUAACGAUUCUGGAUUGGGGAUCAACAGAAGGGGCUGAGCUUGAGUUAAGAUUGGGAGGCCAGGGUAUAGGGUCUCAAAGCAAUUUGAUCCAGAGACAAAACAACGGUCUCUUCUGUUUCAGCCAACCCUUUGUUUCAAAGUAUUUUGAUGUUAUUGAUCCUUCAAGGACGAACAACAAUCUUUGACAAAAUUUCAGAACAAGGU